Molecule: long non-coding RNA, 1295 nt
Filed under: Mytilus galloprovincialis (Mediterranean mussel)
Lineage: Eukaryota; Metazoa; Mollusca; Bivalvia; Mytilida; Mytilidae
Source: RNAcentral
UGCGUCCACCAGAUAUUUAGCAGUUUUUCGUGGAAAGUUGAUUAAGAUAUGAUGAAGUUUUUCGUCAUUGCUUAUUUGCAAGUAGUUGACAUCUGAUAUAAUGUCUUUAAAAUGUUCAUUUCUAAGUUCAGUAUAAAGCGAACAGUCAAGAACAAAAUGUGAUUCGUCUUCAAUGUUGUUUUCGUUACAAAAAUUACAAAUGCGUUCCUCUCGUUGUUCACCAAUGUACCUUCCAGUCUCUAUUCUUAGUGGUAGAAUUCCACACCGUAAUUGUGCUACGCACGAUCGUUGUGAUUUGCUGAGAUUCAGUUUAACGUAUGAUUCUUGUUCAACCAUAGUUUUCAGUUUAACAUACGUUCUUAGCUUGGAAACUUUAAUAACGUCCCUUUUCCACAUAGAUAGAUAGAAGUCUUGUAAUCGUAAGUCCAAUAACGACAUAUCAAUAAUUUCCUUACGUUCAAAAUGGCUGACUAAUUCAAGUUUAAUAAGAAUGUCUUUAAAAUCAAAACACCAAUUGUUCCUGCAUCGCUCAUAAUCAAAUUCGAAAGCAAGUUUUGUAAUCCGCUGAUCGUCGAACGAUAUAAGUCUAUUCCAAAGACGGGCCAUGUUAAUGUAAUGUCGGUAGUGACAAGGUAGCCAUCCGAUAUCACCAUAAAUCGCCAACAAGGGUGCAAAACGAUGUACUCCUAAGAAAUAACGUAUCGCUCUAUUUUGAAUAUUCUCCAAAGCUUGGAACUUACGGCAUCCCCAAAUUCCUGAUCCAUAGUCUAAUAUAGGCACUACACAGGCAUAAAACAGUUUUUCGUAUGAUUUAAUUCCGAACUCUUUAAACUGGUGAAUACUUGAUAUUAUUUUCCCCAAUGCUCGUCCUGAUCCCUUUGAUAAUGCUUCGGUAUGCGUUGAGAAGUUUCCAUUAUAAGUAAACACGACUCCUAAAUACUUGUAUUCAUUAACAUUUUCAAGUUUAUUUUGACCAACGCUGAAUUCAAAGUUUGUAGGUUUAGCUCUAGAUUUUCUAAAAUGGACGCAUUUCGAUUUAUUUGUGUUUAUCAAAACUCUCCAUCGUUUGCACCAGUCCUGAAGUUUGUCUAACAUUUGUUGUAAGUCCUUUUCAUUUUUUGCCAAAAGCGCAAUAUCGUCAGCAUAAAGCAAUAUAGAGAGAUUGCUGUCUUUUAAUCCGAUUCCAAGAUUCAUAUCGUUUAACUCCAUCACCAGGUCAUUAACAAAUAUCGAAAACAAUGUCGGCGAUAAAUUGUCCCCUUGUUUUACACCCGUUUCGCAACAGAACCAGUCGG